GAUGAACGCUAGCGAUAGGCUUAACACAUGCAAGUCGAGGGGCAGCAUGGUCUUAGCUUGCUAAGACUGAUGGCGACCGGCGCACGGGUGCGUAACGCGUAUGCAACUUGCCUCACAGAGGGGGAUAACCCGUCGAAAGACGGACUAAUACCGCGUACACUUGGGAUAGGGCAUCCUGACCCAAGGAAAUGAAAUUCGCUGUGAGAUAGGCAUGCGUCCCAUUAGCUAGUUGGUGAGGUAACGGCUCACCAAGGCGACGAUGGGUAGGGGAACUGAGAGGUUGAACCCCCACACUGGUACUGAGACACGGACCAGACUCCUACGGGAGGCAGCAGUGAGGAAUAUUGGUCAAUGGACGAGAGCCUGAACCAGCCAAGUCGCGUGAAGGAUGACUGUCUUAUGGAUUGUAAACUUCUUUUAUACGGGAAUAACAACAGCCACGUGUGGCUCCCUGCAUGUACCGUAUGAAUAAGCAUCGGCUAACUCCGU
RNAcentral lists this ribosomal RNA (489 nucleotides) under uncultured bacterium. Its description in RNAcentral is "partial 16S ribosomal RNA". It matches the Rfam family "Bacterial small subunit ribosomal RNA", at positions 28 to 506 of the family's 1533-position model. The record is from RNAcentral.